UCCGGCAAUAAAUUGCCGGGCUAUUUUCGGUCGUCCCUGCGGGACU
Non-coding RNA from Desulfobacteraceae bacterium IS3, 46 nucleotides. The record is from Rfam. Lineage: Bacteria; Pseudomonadati; Thermodesulfobacteriota; Desulfobacteria; Desulfobacterales; Desulfobacteraceae.